Orcinus orca (killer whale) is the source of this 3902-nucleotide long non-coding RNA. RefSeq lists it as uncharacterized. The record is from RefSeq and is a predicted model, not a curated record. The transcript has 2 exons. Lineage: Eukaryota; Metazoa; Chordata; Mammalia; Artiodactyla; Delphinidae.
UCCCAUUGGCUGUCUCUCUGGGACAGGCACAGUGGUCGCCGAGUUGACGCUCAGGGUGAAAGGUGUGCGUGUGCGUGUGCGUGUGCGUGUGCGCACGCGGGCAUUUUCAGAGUGUACAUUUUUCUCCGAGUUUGACUACUCCAAGACUGACUAUCCGUAAGGGGCUGAUUAGCUGCCCGGGUCGGUGGCGAGGUUCGGCGCAGUCGCUGGCUGUGCAGGGUGACGGUGGUGGUGUCUUUCCGCGAGCUCUUACAGUCUUGUUUAGCCUUCACUCAGUCUGGAGCGUGUGGCACCGCAGGGUCAGUCGCGCAGAUUCAUAUAAUUAAGGCCAAGGAGGGGUCACCAAACUUUUUUGGUGUCUCUCCCUGGGAAGUAACGUGUGUCGUGCAGUUUGGAGAUGUGUACCGCUACGUCUGACAUCCCAGAUGCUGUUUGAGUACAUUUGGCGUCUGUGAGCAUUUUGGGGAGUUUUUGGUGAAUGGGAUAUUUUAUCUGGGUGGGUUUUGUGAGCCAUGGUACAAAGUCUGUAGGGAUUUGUGUCCUUGUAGACCUGGGUGUGCAUUUUCUGAGCUUUUGGGCAUUAGAGUCACUGGGUGUUAGACCCUUAUGUAGACGUCUGUACCCCAACGUGUGAGGCCUUUGAACUGUUGUGAUUCUGGGUCCCAAGGUGUGAUGUCUCUGAGCUGCUUUAGGAAGGGGUUUGUCUAAAGGUGUAAAGUAUCUGAGCUGUUUGGGGUCUGUGUGUCAGUAGUAAAAUCUCUUACCAUUUUGGCUGUGAGGUCUCUGUCCCGGAACUGAGGGAGUUGGAAACCCGGCAGGUAUGAUUCCGAAGCCUGGAACCCGACGUGCUGAUGGUGCGUUGUUGAGGGUGUCACUUGUCUCCUGGAGUCUCAGUAAUCAGGGAAAGUCUCCCUGAAGGAUGACGAAUGAGCAGAGACCUGGAGGAAGUGAGGGAGCACGCCGUGGGAUUACCUGAAGGAAGAGCAUUCCAGGCAGAAGGAACAGCAGGUGCCACAGUCCUGGCGGGGCAGUCUACUUGGCGUGCUCCUGGAUAUCAAGGAGUCCUGUGAUGCACUGGGUCCAGCACGUAGCACUCAUUGAAAGGUGUCUGGUGCUGCUCUCUGUGUUUGUCCCACAAUCUGUGGUCAUCCCCAUUUCACAGAUGAAGGACCCGAGGCUCCAAGAUGUGCCCUGCACCUUCUCUCCUGCUUACACCUGAAAUUACUGAAGAGGGGUGAAACUUUCUAGCCCAUCAUGAGAGACAGAGGGCCUGAGUGUAAGAGCUGCAGGGAGGACACCGUCCACACUGAAUGUCAGCCAACCAGCGGAGAUCAGUUAUAAAAUGGGAAUCAUGCCCCUCAUAACAUUGCUACUCUUGAUGGAGGGCAGGACUUAAGAAUGAGAAAGGAACUGGGGCAAAGGAGAGAGGCAGGAAGGGGAAGCUGGAGGACAGUGAGGAAAAAACCCACUGGCUUCAUCAUAUUGCUUGGAUUUGGCCCAGUUCACCUUGAUUAACUGAUAUAUUCACUUUUCCCCUGUCCCUACCCUUUCUUUCCCUUCCCUUCUCUUCUCUUUUGUGCCUGAGCAGUUCAGUCCUAAAGCCAUUAGGUGUUGACGGGCAAGGCAAGUAUAUGCGUGUAGGGGCAUCCCAAUUUGGGAGGUCAGAGCCCAAGGUGGUAAGGAGGAUAUCCCUGGGGGUUCUGUGGGGAGGUGGUUAACUGGCUCAGGGAUUCAGGCUUGAGUGAGGUGUGGAAGUCAAGGGCAGGGGAUGGUUCAGCAUAGCACGUGGGGAGGACCUCUUUGUGGAGGAGGGAUGGCUUAUAUGCAUUGGGAUUUGUCAACUCAGUGAAUAUAUAAGGAUGGUGGGAGCCACGUCUGUCACUUUUGGAAGAGGGAAUUUCCAAUAUGGAAAGGAGGUAAACUGGAACAACUUCUGAGGAGUUCUACUGGAAUUAAAGGUCUCCGUGAGAACUCCUGGUUUUCAAUAGAUAUGUGUGCAUAUGUGGAUAGAUUGAUAUAGAAAUAUAUAUAUGUGUGUGUGUGUGUGUGUGUGAUUGUGUUCACACAUAUAUUCCAAACUUCCUGAAAACAGCAACAUCCCAAUGACAAUAAGUACACCUACCGCUAGAUCCUAGCUUCUGAAUACCAUUCUCCGCUAAAUGCUGGGUUCCCAGGCUGAGGAGAGAAAGGAUUAAUGAGCCUGGCUCAACUUGUCAUGUCAGUAAUAAGGGAAAGUUAAGGAAUGAUGGGGAGAUGUCAGGGGGACACAGAAUAUAGCUGGAGGGCUCUCCCACCGGAAAAGCUGGGGACUCUUUUAUCUUUUCCAGCUUCUCUGAGGUAUUAUUGACAUAUAGCAUGUAAGUUUAAGGUGCACAGUGUGAUGAUUUGAUACACGUAGGUAGGGCAAAACGAUUACCACAAUAAGGUUAGUUAGCACUCUAUCCCCUCACAGAAUUACCUUUUUAAAAAUUGUGGUGAUAACAUUUCAGAUCUACCCUCUUAGCUUUCAAUAUACGAUACAGUUUUGUUCCUUAUACUCAGCAUGCUGUACAUUAGAUCCCCAUAACUUAUUCAUCUUGUAGCUGGAAGUUUGUACCGUUUGACCAAUAUUUCCCCCAGCCCCUGGCAACCGCCAUUCUAAACUCUAUUUCUGUGAGUUUGACUUUUUUAGAGUCUACAUAUAAGUAGAACAUACAAUAUGUCUUUCUUUCACUUACUUCACUUAGCAUAAAGCCUUCCAGGUCCAUUCGUGUUGUUGCAAAAGGCAGGAUUUUCUUCGUUUUUGUGGCUGAAUAAUAUUCCGUUGUAUAUGUCACCACAUUUUCUAUAUCCAUUCAUCCCCUCCAUGGCCACUUAGUUGCUUACAUAUCUUGGUUGAAGCUGCAUUGUAAAUUGUGACGUUGGUGUUAGUCCUCCAACUUUGUUUUUCAAAAUUAUUUGGCUAUUCUAGUUCCUUUGCCUUACCCCAGAAAUUUUAUCAUCAGUUAGUCUAUAUGUACAAAAAAAUCCUUGCCUGGAUUUGUGAUUGGAAUUGUAUGAAAUUGAUGGAUCUAUUUGGGGACUAUUGACAUCCUAAUUAUAUUGAAUUUCUCAACAGAUGAACGCAGUAUGUGUCUCCAUUUUGUUAGGUCUUCUUAUAUUUCUUUUCCUCAGCAUUUUGUAGUUUUGAGCAUACAGAUCCUGCUUAUGUUUCGCUAGGUUUUGGGGGGAAGCUAUUAUAAAUGGUAUGCACAAGUCUUUUUUUUUAAAAUUUCCUAAUUGUUCAUUGCUAGUACAGGCAAAUAUGCCUGAUUUUUUGGUGUUGAGCUUGUAUCCUGCGACCUUGUUAAACUCACUUCUUAGUUAUAGGAGUUUUUGUUAAUAGAUUUCAUGGGAUUUUCUAGGUAGAUAAUCAUGUCAUUGGUGGAUGGGAGCAGUUUGAUUUCCUCCUUCCCAAUCUCUAAACCAUUUGUUUCUUUUUCUUUUCUUACUGGAGUGGCUAGGACUUCCAGUACAAUGUUGACUUAUAGCUAUCCUCCUGGCCUGGUUCCUGAUCUUAGGGAGAAAGCAUUUAGUCUCUCUCCAUCAAGUAGGAUGGAGGGGCGGGUAUUUUUGUAGAUGCUCUGUGUCAGGUUAAGAAAGCUCCCUUCUACUCCUGGUUAGCUGAAUGUUUUCAUCAUGAACGACUGUUGAAUUUUGUCAGAUACUUUUUCUGCAUCAACAGAUAACGAUCAUGUGGUUCUUUAUCUUUGGUAUGCUACUAUGCUGGCUUGAUUGAUGUUUUAAUGCUGCACCAGCUUUGCAUUUCGGGGAUAAACCUCACUUGGUCAUGGUGUAUUAUUCUUUUUAUAUAUUGAAUUUGAUUUGCUACUACUGUCUUUGUUUGACUUUGGUAUCAGGGUAAUGCUAAUCUGAAAAAAGAA